GGGAGGAUUGGGGUUUCAAACCCUUACGGGUAAGCACAGCACUCCCGGGGCGCUUCGAACCAGUUUAUGGUAGGGGUCCACCCAGUGUGUACAGGAUGAUACCCGAAAGAUGGUGAACUAUGCCUGGCCAGGACGAAGCCAGGCGAAACCCUGGUGGAGGUCGGCAGAGAUUCUGACGUGCAAAUCGAUCGUUGGAGCUGGGUAUAGGGGCGAAAGACCAAUCGAACCAUUAGUAGCUGGUUCCCUCUGAAGUUUCCCUCAGGAUAGCUGGCUUUUUCGUAUAGAGGAGUCUCAUCCGGUAGAGCGAAUGAUUAGAGGCAUUGGGGUCGAAACGAUCUCAACCUAUUCUCAAACUCCAAACGGAUGAGAACCCCGGCUUACUUAAAAGGAAGCCGCGGGA
This 400-nucleotide ribosomal RNA is filed under the name Neocentrocnemis stali. RNAcentral describes it as "eukaryotic LSU rRNA". It matches the Rfam family "Eukaryotic large subunit ribosomal RNA", at positions 727 to 1108 of the family's 3401-position model. RNAcentral also lists the same sequence under 1 other name. Lineage: Eukaryota; Metazoa; Arthropoda; Insecta; Hemiptera; Reduviidae. The record is from RNAcentral.